This 484-nucleotide ribosomal RNA is filed under the name uncultured bacterium. RNAcentral's name for it is "partial 16S ribosomal RNA". It matches the Rfam family "Bacterial small subunit ribosomal RNA", at positions 30 to 507 of the family's 1533-position model. The record is from RNAcentral.
AUUGAACGCUGGCGGCAGGCCUAACACAUGCAAGUCGAGCGGAUGAAGGGAGCUUGCUCCUGGAUUCAGCGGCGGACGGGUGAGUAAUGCCUAGGAAUCUGCCUGGUAGUGGGGGAUAACGUCCGGAAACGGGCGCUAAUACCGCAUACUUCCUGAGGGAGAAAGUGGGGGAUCUUCGGACCUCACGCUAUCAGAUGAGCCUAGGUCGGAUUAGAUAGUUGGUGGGGUAAAGGCCUACCAAGCCGACGAUCCGUAACUGGUCUGAGAGGAUGAUCAGUCACACUGGAACUGGGACACGGUCCAGACUACUACGGGAGGCAGCAGUGGGGAAUAUUGGACAAUGGGCGAAAGCCUGAUCCAGCCAUGCCGCGUGUGUGAAGAAGGUCUUCGGAUUGUAAAGAACUUCAAGUUGGGAGGAAGGGCAGUAAGUUAAUACCUUGCUGUUCUGACGUUACCAACAGAAUAAGCACCGGCUAACUUCGUG